AGUGAACGCUGGCGGUAGGCCUAACACAUGCAAGUCGAACGGCAGCACAGUAAGAGCUUGCUCUUACGGGUGGCGAGUGGCGGACGGGUGAGGAAUACAUCGGAAUCUACUUUUUCGUGGGGGAUAACGUAGGGAAACUUACUCUAAUACCGCAUACGACCUACGGGUGAAAGCAUGGGAUCUUCGGACCUUGCGCGAUUGAAUGAGCCGAUGUCGGAUUAGCUAGUUGGCGGGGUAAAGGCCCACCAAGGCGACGAUCCGUAGCUGGUCUGAGAGGAUGAUCAGCCACACUGGAACUGAGACACGGUCCAGACUCCUACGGGAGGCAGCAGUGGGGAACAUUGGACAAAGGGCGCAAGCAUGAUCCAGCGAUACCGCGUGGGUGAAGAAGGCCUUCGGGUUGUAAAGCCCUUUUGUUGGGAAAGAAAAGCAGCAGGUUAAUACCCCGCUGUUCUGACGGUACCCAAAGAAUAAGCACCGGCUAACUUCGUG
RNAcentral lists this ribosomal RNA (492 nucleotides) under uncultured bacterium. RNAcentral's name for it is "partial 16S ribosomal RNA". It matches the Rfam family "Bacterial small subunit ribosomal RNA", at positions 29 to 507 of the family's 1533-position model. The record is from RNAcentral.